GCCGGCCAGGGUGCCGCAGACGCGGGGACGCUGGCUCGCUCCCUCCCUCCCUCCGACGCUAUCAAAUGAUGCUGUUUGGAAAAAUUUCCCAGCAGUUGUGUGGCGUAAAGAAACUCCCAUGGUCAUGUGACUCCAGAUACUUCUGGGGCUGGUUGAAUGCAGUGUUUAAUAAGGUGGAUUAUGAUCGCAUCAGGGAUGUUGGCCCUGACAGGGCGGCAUCCGAGUGGUUGCUGCGCUGCGGGGCCAUGGUGCGCUACCAUGGCCAGGAGAGGUGGCAGAAGGACUACAACCACCUUCCAACAGGCCCUCUGGACAAAUACAAGAUUCAGGCGAUCGACGCCACCGACUCUUGUAUCAUGAGCAUUGGAUUUGAUCACAUGGAGGGCCUAGAGCAUGUUGAAAAAAUAAGGCUGUGCAAGUGUCAUUAUAUCGAGGAUGACUGUUUGCUGAGACUUAGUCAACUUGAAAAUUUACAAAAAACCAUAUUGGAAAUGGAAAUAAUAUCCUGUGGGAAUAUCACAGACAAAGGCAUCAUUGCUUUGCGUCAUUUAAGAAACCUCAAAUAUUUGUUGUUAAGUGAUCUUCCUGGAGUAAGAGAAAAAGAAAAUCUUGUCCAAGCCUUUAAGACAGCACUGCCUUCUCUGGAACUAAAAUUACAAUUGAAGUAAAAUAAUGUGUCUUAUUUCAGUAUAAAGGAUCAUUUGAAACUGUUGAUUCCAAACAUCAACUAAUAUUAUAUAGUCAUCAGUAGAAUUAUAAGGAUGCCAUAUCAUGACAUUUUAGAAGUGGAGAGUGCAUCAUAUGUAGAAAAUAAAUAUUCAGACGUGACUCAUUAAUGUUACUAAGUUGGAAGUGAGAAUUUAUGAACAUUAAUUCAUUUUAAGAAAAGUGCAGCCAGGCGCAGUGGCUCAUGCCUGUAAUCCUAGCACUUUGGGAGGCCAAAGCGGGCAGAUCACCUGAGGUCAGGAGUUCAAGACCAACCAUGGCCAACAUGGUGAAACCCCAUCUCUACUAAAAAAACAAAAUUAGCUGAAUGUGGUGGUGCACGCCUUUAAUCCCAGCUACUCUGGAGGCUGAGGCAGGAGAAUCACUUGACUUGGGAGGUGGAGGUUGCAGGGACCCAAGAUUGUGCCACUGCACUCCAGCCUGGGUGACAGAGCGAGACUGUCUCAAAAAAAAAAAAAAAAAAGAAAAAUGUAAACUAGGUAACAUUUUAAUUCUAAUAUAUUCAUUUAAUAUGUAAAUCUAUAGAUAUCUCUUGAUGUAGAUAUUUAUUUAGAAUCCUUUAAAGUUAUUUGUACAACAGAUGUUUUUAUUAUAACAGUAAUUUACAUUUAACUUUAAAGUUAGUGAAGCAUACUACCAUAAAUGCACAAUUAUGAAAAAUUAGAAGGUAAAUUACAGAUUCAUUGAUGGAGUCAAUUAUGCAAAGUGGUCAGUGGUUGUUGAAGCAUGCAUUGCUUCAACAGGAUUUGCGUGCAUUUCCCAUGAUCCUGCAUUCUUGUGUUCUUGAUAGCAUACAGACUUUCUCAGAAUCAACAGUUGCUGCUUAAUUUGUCUAUUUUGUAAGCUUAGGCUACUAUUUUAUUAAAACUGGACAUAGAUACUUGGCUGAAUACAAAUAGUUUUGCAGAUUGCAAUAUAAUAAAGGAAACAAUAAAAACCAGUGGGCUAUGCUUAGGUUUUUCUUGAAACCUAACAUUGCUUUAGGCUGGGUGCCGUGGCUCGUGCCUGUAAUCCCAGUGCUUUGGGAGGCUGAGGUGGGAGGAUCACUUGAGACCAGGAGUUUGAGACCAAUUUGGGCAACACAGCGAGACCCCAUCUCUAAAAAAAUUUUAAAAAUUAGGCAGGCAUGGUGGUGCAUACCUGUAAUCUCAGAUACUUGGGAGGUUGAGGUGGUAGGAUUGCUUGAGCUCAGGAGUUUGAGGCUGCAGUAAGCUAUGAUCACGGCCACUGCACACCAGCCUGGUAGCCUGGGUGAAAGGGGGAGACCUGUCUCUUAAAAAAAA
Molecule: small RNA, 2009 nt
Filed under: Pan troglodytes (chimpanzee)
Lineage: Eukaryota; Metazoa; Chordata; Mammalia; Primates; Hominidae
Description: processed transcript
Source: RNAcentral